RNAcentral lists this ribosomal RNA (438 nucleotides) under Bacillus safensis. RNAcentral describes it as "bacterial SSU rRNA". It matches the Rfam family "Bacterial small subunit ribosomal RNA", at positions 21 to 449 of the family's 1533-position model. The record is from RNAcentral. Lineage: Bacteria; Bacillati; Bacillota; Bacilli; Caryophanales; Bacillaceae.
GGCUCAGGACGAACGCUGGCGGCGUGCCUAAUACAUGCAAGUCGAGCGGACAGAAGGGAGCUUGCUCCCGGAUGUUAGCGGCGGACGGGUGAGUAACACGUGGGUAACCUGCCUGUAAGACUGGGAUAACUCCGGGAAACCGGAGCUAAUACCGGAUAGUUCCUUGAACCGCAUGGUUCAAGGAUGAAAGACGGUUUCGGCUGUCACUUACAGAUGGACCCGCGGCGCAUUAGCUAGUUGGUGGGGUAAUGGCUCACCAAGGCGACGAUGCGUAGCCGACCUGAGAGGGUGAUCGGCCACACUGGGACUGAGACACGGCCCAGACUCCUACGGGAGGCAGCAGUAGGGAAUCUUCCGCAAUGGACGAAAGUCUGACGGAGCAACGCCGCGUGAGUGAUGAAGGUUUUCGGAUCGUAAAGCUCUGUUGUUAGGGAAGAA